CAACUUUCAACAACGGAUCUCUUGGCUCUCGCAUCGAUGAAGAACGCAGCGAAAUGCGAUAAGUAAUGUGAAUUGCAGAAUUCAGUGAAUCAUCGAAUCUUUGAACGCACCUUGCGCCCUUUGGUAUUCCGAAGGGCACACCUGUUUGAGUGUC
This 154-nucleotide ribosomal RNA is filed under the name Hymenochaete denticulata. RNAcentral's name for it is "5.8S ribosomal RNA". It matches the Rfam family "5.8S ribosomal RNA". Rfam says of the family: 5.8S ribosomal RNA (5.8S rRNA) is a component of the large subunit of the eukaryotic ribosome. It is transcribed by RNA polymerase I as part of the 45S precursor that also contains 18S and 28S rRNA. Lineage: Eukaryota; Fungi; Basidiomycota; Agaricomycetes; Hymenochaetales; Hymenochaetaceae. The record is from RNAcentral.